UGCAGUCGAGGGGCAGCAUAAUGGAUAGCAAUAUCUAUGGUGGCGACCGGCGCACGGGUGCGUAACGCGUAUGCAACCUACCUUUAACAGGGGGAUAACACUGAGAAAUUGGUACUAAUACCCCAUAAUAUCAUAGAAGGCAUCUUUUAUGGUUGAAAAUUCCGAUGGUUAGAGGUGGGCAUGCGUUGUAUUAGCUAGUUGGUGGGGUAACGGCUCACCAAGGCGACGAUACAUAGGGGGACUGAGAGGUUAACCCCCCACACUGGUACUGAGACACGGACCAGACUCCUACGGGAGGCAGCAGUGAGGAAUAUUGGUCAAUGGACGCAAGUCUGAACCAGCCAUGCCGCGUGCAGGAUGACGGCUCUAUGAGUUGUAAACUGCUUUUGUACGAGGGUAAACGCAGAUACGUGUAUCUGUCUGAAAGUAUCGUACGAAUAAGGAUCGGCUAACUCCGUGCCAGCAGCCGCGGUAAUACGGAGGAUUCAAGCGUUAUCCGGAUUUAUUGGGUUUAAAGGGUGCGUAGGCGGUUUGAUAAGUUAGAGGUGAAAUUUCGGGGCUCAACCCUGAACGUGCCUCUAAUACUGUUGAGCUAGAGAGUAGUUGCGGUAGGCGGAAUGUAUGGUGUAGCGGUGAAAUGCUUAGAGAUCAUACAGAACACCGAUUGCGAA
Molecule: ribosomal RNA, 671 nt
Filed under: uncultured bacterium
Lineage: Bacteria
Description: bacterial SSU rRNA
Rfam family: Bacterial small subunit ribosomal RNA
Source: RNAcentral